RNAcentral lists this ribosomal RNA (135 nucleotides) under Bacillus licheniformis. RNAcentral's name for it is "partial 16S ribosomal RNA". It matches the Rfam family "Bacterial small subunit ribosomal RNA", at positions 1 to 132 of the family's 1533-position model. The record is from RNAcentral. Lineage: Bacteria; Bacillati; Bacillota; Bacilli; Caryophanales; Bacillaceae.
UUCAUGGAGAGUUUGAUCCUGGCUCAGGACGAACGCUGGCGGCGUGCCUAAUACAUGCAAGUCGAGCGGACCGACGGGAGCUUGCUCCCUUGGGUCAGCGGCGGACGGGUGAGUAACACGUGGGUAACCUGCCUG